AGUAAACUCCAAACCCAUGUGAACAUACCUACUGUUGCUUCGGCGGGAUUGCCCCGGGCGCCUCGUGUGCCCCGGAUCAGGCGCCCGCCUAGGAAACUCAACUCUUGUUUUAUUUUGGAAUCUUCUGAGUAGUUUUUACAAAUAAAUAAAAACUUUCAACAACGGAUCUCUUGGUUCUGGCAUCGAUGAAGAACGCAGCGAAAUGCGAUAAGUAAUGUGAAUUGCAGAAUUCAGUGAAUCAUCGAAUCUUUGAACGCACAUUGCGCCCGCCAGUAUUCUGGCGGGCAUGCCUGUCUGAGCGUCAUUUCAACCCUCAUGCCCCUAGGGCGUGGUGUUGGGGAUCGGCCAAAGCCCGCGAGGGACGGCCGGCCCCUAAAUCUAGUGGCGGACCCGUCGUGGCCUCCCCUGCGAAGUAGUGAUAUUCCGCAUCGGAGAGCGACGAGCCCCUGCCGUUAAACCCCCAACUUUCCAAGGUUGACCUCAGAUCAGGUAGGAAUACCCGCUGAACUUAAGCAUAUCAAUAAGCGGAGGAA
Molecule: ribosomal RNA, 533 nt
Filed under: fungal endophyte
Lineage: Eukaryota; Fungi
Description: eukaryotic LSU rRNA
Rfam family: 5.8S ribosomal RNA (bases 151-304)
Source: RNAcentral